Long non-coding RNA from Chinchilla lanigera (long-tailed chinchilla), 503 nucleotides. RefSeq lists it as uncharacterized. The record is from RefSeq and is a predicted model, not a curated record. NCBI's taxonomy places the organism in Eukaryota, Metazoa, Chordata, Mammalia, Rodentia, Chinchillidae. The transcript is spliced from 3 exons.
CAGUGUUGCUGGAGCCAGAGGUCCUCUGAAUCGAUGAAAGAACUACAAAGAGAAAAGAGGAAAGAAGAGAAUCAGUAAACUUGACAAGUCUUUUCCAGCCAGAUGUGGUGCUGCAUGCCUGGAGAUUACCUUUCCAUACGGCACAAAUAAUCAGAUUCCUCCUGCCUAGGGAAAACUGCAUUCACAAUUCUACAGGUAAUGGGAAAACGAUGGUGACAAACUUGUUCAAGAUGAGCACAGCAUUUUCUUUGGUCCUGAGUGACUGACACCGUGAUGAACUUGUUUCCAAGCCAAAUAUAACUGGGAGACCUGGACAUGUACAAUGUCUCAUAUAUUCAGCCACAGCUAAUUCUUUUCCGAUGCACUAACAUAUUUAUCUCAAUUCUUUCCCCUUUUGUCUAAUUCUACCGAAAAAUAUAGUUUAAGUUCCCCAAAUAUAAGAAAAAUAAAAAUUUAUUUUAAAACUAUUAUAUUAAUUAUUAUCAACAGUCUAUAAAAUCCAA